Long non-coding RNA from Oreochromis aureus, 1446 nucleotides. RefSeq lists it as uncharacterized. The record is from RefSeq and is a predicted model, not a curated record. The transcript has 3 exons. Lineage: Eukaryota; Metazoa; Chordata; Actinopteri; Cichliformes; Cichlidae.
UGUGUUCCAGAGGGUGAUGGGAGUCAAAGAGGAGGUACUGGUCCAUGUGUAGCAAUGGGUUUUAUGUACACUACCAGGCAAAGGUUUGAACUCAAUCAUUUAAUGGUUUUUCUUUAUGUAAUAAACAAAAACCUGUGAAAUCACGUUUUAUAACAUGCUCUGAUUACAGCUUUGCACACUCUUGGUAUUCUCUCCAUAUAUGAGCAUAGACAUGAUCAUUUAUUUCCAGUAUUGUUCUUAUUAUAGUUGAUUAGAUUAGACAUGUGACAGCUGAUGAUUAGCUGGCUAAACAUAAGUAAUUGCAAGCUAACAUUAUGCUAGCUAACGUUAGCCUCUAAACGUCACAGUUUCCUGCUGAUAAACUGUCUGACAUCAUUCUCACAUUGUAUCAGAGUUUGUUCACUAAGAGUCACAGUCUAACAACCGUCUGUUUCACUAACACUGGCUAACAACAGCUAACAGCGCCUACCUAGCAGCAGCUAACAGAGGCUAAUAGCCGCUAACAGCAGUGCUUAGCAACAGUAAAGUUCAGGAUCUCCUCAACAACUCAGCUCAGUAUCACCGUCAUCGGUCAGCAGUGAGCCUCUGACUCCUCUCAGGCUCCUUUCACACCACUGAGGUAAACAGCGGACCGACAGCCGACACUCAGUACAGAUGACAGUGUUUCCUUCUGGUUAAACAUGUAGUUCAUUAAAGGCAAAGCAAAGGUCCUUGGGUCAGAGAUGACCCGGGACGCUGCAUGUAGCCCUGCAGCAGGACAGGACUCAAACCAGCGCCCAUAAACCUGAAUUUGUAGUAUUAAGUUUAUUAAUUAGUGUAGUUUUAUAUAUAACACAUGCAAAAUAUUUAGUGGAUUCAUCUUUUUUUUUUUUUUUAAUUAGGAUUUGGAUGUAUUUGCAUUUUUUAAUGGUAUAACUGUGAUAUAAAGUUUUGACUUUAUUUAUAUCACAGAACAACAGAGAGAUGAAGUGUGAAGGAAAAGUUUCCUUCUGUUGUGCAAUAUUAAAUUAUUUUUAACUCAUCCUUGCAGAAAGGAAGAUAACGAGAGGUUCCUGAUAACAUCGACUCAGCUGAGCGACGCUCAACAACACAAACACCUUCCCACAUCAGUGACACAACACAACAGCUGAGUCAUUCAAACCCUGACGUGAUGGUGUUUAAAGAGAAGUGAAACCUGCAGCAGAUCUUUGUGGAGCUGGCAGCUGUUGAGUUUGGAGCAGAUGUUUGGGAGCUUCGGGGAGAGCCAGCAGACUCAAACACUGAUUUAUUGCACUAAAACACUUGAAGGUGAUUUCAGUCACACUGCAACACCCGUCUGAGGGACACUUCUGGUUUGCCUCCUGCUGUGAGACCUGAGGCCGGCUCGCUUCCGCACAUUUGUUCUUCAGUCUCUGUGCGGACUGAAGCCCUCAUCGUUCAUACGCAAACAGAUUUAAUAAAGACAAA